GAUGAACGCUGGCGGCGUGCCUAAUACAUGCAAGUCGAGCGAACGGACGAGAAGCUUGCUUCUCUGAUGUUAGCGGCGGACGGGUGAGUAACACGUGGAUAACCUACCUAUAAGACUGGGAUAACUUCGGGAAACCGGAGCUAAUACCGGAUAAUAUUUUGAACCGCAUGGUUCAAAAGUGAAAGACGGUCUUGCUGGCACUUAUAGAUGUAUCCGCGCUGCAUUAGCUAGUUGGUAAGGUAACGGCUUACCAAGGCAACGAUGCAUAGCCGACCUGAGAGGGUGAUCGGCCACACUGGAACUGAGACACGGUCCAGACUCCUACGGGAGGCAGCAGUAGGGAAUCUUCCGCAAUGUGCGAAAGCCUGACGGAGCAACGCCGCGUGAGUGAUGAAGGUCUUCGGAUCGUAAAACUCUGUUAUUAGGGAAGAACAUAUGUGUAAGUAACUGUGCACAUCUUGACGGUACCUAAUCAGAAAGCCACGGCUAACUACGUG
This 497-nucleotide ribosomal RNA is filed under the name uncultured bacterium. RNAcentral's name for it is "partial 16S ribosomal RNA". It matches the Rfam family "Bacterial small subunit ribosomal RNA", at positions 28 to 507 of the family's 1533-position model. The record is from RNAcentral.